AACAGGAUUAGAUACCCUGGUAGUCCACGCCGUAAACGUUGGGCGCUAAGUGUGGGUCCCAUUCCACGGGGCCCGUGCCGCAGCUAACGCAUUAAGCGCCCCGCCUGGGGAGUACGGCCGCAAGGCUAAAACUCAAAGGAAUUGACGGGGGCCCGCACAAGCGGCGGAGCAUGCGGAUUAAUUCGAUGCAACGCGAAGAACCUUACCAAGGCUUGACAUAUACCGGAAACCUCCAGAGAUGGGGGCCCCGCAAGGUCGGUAUACAGGUGGUGCAUGGUUGUCGUCAGCUCGUGUCGUGAGAUGUUGGGUUAAGUCCCGCAACGAGCGCAACCCUCGUUCUAUGUUGCCAGCACGUGAUGGUGGGGACUCAUAGGAGACUGCCGGGGUCAACUCGGAGGAAGGUGGGGAUGACGUCAAAUCAUCAUGCCCCUUACGUCUUGGGCUUCACGCAUGCUACAAUGGCCGGUACAGAGGGCUGCGAAACCGUGAGGUGGAGCGAAUCCCUUAAAGCUGGUCUCAGUUCGGAUUGGGGUCUGCAACUCGACCCCAUGAAGUCGGAGUCGCUAGUAAUCGCAGAUCAGCAACGCUGCGGUGAAUACGUUCCCGGGCCUUGUACACACCGCCCGUCAAGUCACGAAAGUCGGUAACACCCGAAGCCGGUGGCCCAACCUCUUGUAGGGGGGAGCCGUCGAAGGUGGGACUGGUGAUUGGGACUAAGUCGUAACAAGGUAACC
Molecule: ribosomal RNA, 734 nt
Filed under: uncultured bacterium
Lineage: Bacteria
Description: bacterial SSU rRNA
Rfam family: Bacterial small subunit ribosomal RNA
Source: RNAcentral